RNAcentral lists this ribosomal RNA (492 nucleotides) under uncultured bacterium. RNAcentral's name for it is "partial 16S ribosomal RNA". It matches the Rfam family "Bacterial small subunit ribosomal RNA", at positions 29 to 507 of the family's 1533-position model. The record is from RNAcentral.
AGUGAACGCUGGCGGUAGGCCUAACACAUGCAAGUCGAACGGCAGCACAGUAAGAGCUUGCUCUUACGGGUGGCGAGUGGCGGACGGGUGAGGAAUACAUCGGAAUCUACUUUUUCGUGGGGGAUAACGUAGGGAAACUUACGCUAAUACCGCAUACGACCUACGGGCGAAAGCAGGGGAUCUUCGGACCUUGCGCGAUUGAAUGAGCCGAUGUCGGAUUAGCUAGUUGGCGGGGUAAAGGCCCACCAAGGCGACGAUCCGUAGCUGGUCUGAGAGGAUGAUCAGCCACACUGGAACUGAGACACGGUCCAGUCUCCUACGGGAGGCAGCAGUGGGGAAUAUUGGACAAUGGGCGCAAGCCUGAUCCAGCCAUACCGCGUGGGUGAAGAAGGCCUUCGGGUUGUAAAGCCCUUUUGUUGGGAAAGAAAAGCAGCAGGUUAAUACCCCGCUGUUCUGACGGUACCCAAAGAAUAAGCACCGGCUAACUUCGUG